GGAUGGCCAUCCAGCUGUGACAUGUGUCACACCAUUGAUCAGCAGGGUUACUUCAGCUGAUCUGGCUGGAUAUGCAGGUGUCCCUUCCUCUCCACUCUGUCUCCCUCCCAAAGCUGUGUGUGUGGUGAAAGAGGACUGUUCUUUGGUGGAGGGUGUCUACAUAACUGUGCUUCCCUUUGAGGACCUCCAAAUAAGUUCUCACAUAGGAGACUCUACAAAAUUAUACAAAAUAAAGAAAGGAAGAAAGGGAGAAGGACGAAGGGGAGUGAGGGAAGAAGUUUUCAGAAUGCCACAUAAAGACCCAAAUACCGGCCUCU
This 317-nucleotide small nuclear RNA is filed under the name Neotoma lepida (desert woodrat). Its description in RNAcentral is "7SK RNA". It matches the Rfam family "7SK RNA". Rfam says of the family: 7SK was discovered as an abundant small nuclear RNA in the mid-70s but a possible function has only recently been suggested. Two independent studies have found that 7SK RNA binds the CDK9/cyclin T complex (known as elongation factor P-TEFb). P-TEFb activates transcription by phosphorylating the C-terminal domain of RNA polymerase II. The record is from Rfam by way of RNAcentral. Lineage: Eukaryota; Metazoa; Chordata; Mammalia; Rodentia; Cricetidae.